Molecule: long non-coding RNA, 571 nt
Organism: Paramacrobiotus metropolitanus
Lineage: Eukaryota; Metazoa; Tardigrada; Eutardigrada; Parachela; Macrobiotidae
Exons: 4
Source: RefSeq, a predicted model, not a curated record
GAGCUGUGGCGGACGUGGGGCAAUGGCGAUCGCAGGGGAGAACGAUGGAAGCUUGCCUGUGCGGACGCGAGGCUGUGGCAGAUGCGGAGCGCACUAGCGGACGCGGGGACGACGGCGAACUAGAGGGGAUUCGAUUGAUGCGUGCGCGAAGGCGGACAAGCAAGCAGAACAGACGAGAGAACGGAGGCUGGCGUUCUUGCAGAUGAAACGUACACGCUGCCGUUGUAAUAAGCACCGUAUCCCUGGCUGCUGAAUGUUAUGCGGAUCCGCUGAAAAAUUAUAUAUCUGCAGCGUCGACAUUUUGUAAAGAUGUGCUGAUCGCAUAAUCUGACUGGAUAAUUAUUUUAUCCGAUAAGCAGUUCCUGACCAUGAUUUGGUAUUCCAUUUCCUAUAUUCCCUAAUCUCAGCGCAAGGAUGUGUUCCUGCCUGUAUCGGAUACAAUGAUCGGUCCGUUCUCCAGUUAUUUAAUUGACAAGUCCAGCUGGGAUAUCGUUACGAUUGUGUGCGCCUUGAUUGCUUCCUUUGGUUGCCAGUGAAGUUCUUUUGCCACUGCAAUUAAUUUUUAUUAUUU